RNAcentral lists this ribosomal RNA (467 nucleotides) under uncultured bacterium. RNAcentral's name for it is "partial 16S ribosomal RNA". It matches the Rfam family "Bacterial small subunit ribosomal RNA", at positions 29 to 507 of the family's 1533-position model. The record is from RNAcentral.
ACGAACGCUGGCGGCGUGCUUAACACCUGCCAGUCGCACGGAAAGGCCCUGCUUUUGUGGGGUGCUCGCGUGGCGAACGGGUGAGUAACACGUGAGUAACCUGCCCUUGACUUUGGGAUAACUUCAGGAAACUGGGGCUAAUACCGGAUAGGAGCUCCUGCUGCAUGGUGGGGGUUGGAAAGUUUCGGCGGUUGGGGAUGGACUCGCGGCUUAUCAGCUUGUUGGUGGGGUAGUGGCUUACCAAGGCUUUGACGGGUAGCCGGCCUGAGAGGGUGACCGGCCACAUUGGGACUGAGAUACGGCCCAGACUCCUACGGGAGGCAGCAGUGGGGAAUAUUGCACAAUGGGCGGAAGCCUGAUGCAGCAACGCCGCGUGCGGGAUGACGGCCUUCGGGUUGUAAACCGCUUUCGCCUGUGACGAAGCGUGAGUGACGGUAAUGGGUAAAGAAGCACCGGCUAUCUACGUG